GAACUUAAGCAUAUCAAUAAGCGGAGGAAAAGAAACUAACAAGGAUUCCCUCAGUAACUGCGAGUGAAGUGGGAAAAGCUCAAAUUUGAAAUCUGGCAGCUCUUUCAGGUUGUCCGAGUUGUAAUCUAGAGAAGCGUUACCUGUGUUGGACCGUGUAAAAGUCUUCUGGAAUGGAGCAUCAUAGAGGGUGAGAAUCCCGUCUUUGACAUGGACUACCAGCAUGCCAAGGUGCACUCUCAAAGAGUCGAGUUGUUUGGGAAUGCAGCUCAAAAUGGGUGGUAAAUGCCAUCUAAAGCUAAAUAUUGGCGAGAGACCGAUAGCGAACAAGUACCGUGAGGGAAAGAUGAAAAGAACUUUGGAAAGAGAGUUAAACAGUACGUGAAAUUGCUGAAAGGGAAACGCUUAAAGUCAGUCGCAUUAGCUGGAAAUCAGGCUUGCUUUUGCAAGGUGCACUUUCUAGUUGAUGGGUCAGCAUCAAUUUUAAUCGUUGGAUAAAGUCAUUGGGAAUGUAGCAUCUUUGGAUGUGUUAUAGCCCAGUGUUGAAUACAGCGGUCAGGAUUGAGGAAUUCAGCAUGCCUCUAGGGGCCAGGUUUCGACCAUGUUCAUGCUUAGGACGCUGGCAUAAUGGCUUUAAUCGACCCGUCUUGAAACACGGACCAAGGAGUCUAACAUGCCUGCGAGUGUUUGGGUGAAAAACCCAUACGCACGAUGAAAGUGAAAGUUGAGAUCCUUAGGGAGCAUUGACGCCCGGACCAGACCUUCUGUGACGGAUCCGCGGUAGAGCAUGUAUGUUGGGACCCGAAA
RNAcentral lists this ribosomal RNA (804 nucleotides) under uncultured fungus. RNAcentral's name for it is "eukaryotic LSU rRNA". It matches the Rfam family "Eukaryotic large subunit ribosomal RNA", at positions 30 to 821 of the family's 3401-position model. Lineage: Eukaryota; Fungi. The record is from RNAcentral.